GAAACCCUGCCCCUAUAUCCGGUUGGUGUAGGCGGUGUUGGAGAGCCGAAGGGUUAACAACCAAUCAGAGGACAGCGAUGGUUCAAGAACUACCCAAUCAGCAGGAGGAGGGGCGGGCCCCCGAGGAAAACUCGUGACUCGGGCCGCGGCGGCUGUGAGAAUGGUGAGCCCAGCAAAGCCGGACGGAGGCGGAAGUGGCUUGGCUUAAAGCAGCCUUCCCUGCCUGGCCUUUGGGGCUGUCCUGCCCGUGGACUGCCACCUCUGCGGAGACUGAAGUGCCAGAGCCGGAGAUUUUAUUUAUUUAUUCAUGAGAGAGAGAGGCAGAGCGAGAAGCAGGCUCCCAAGGAGCAGGGAGCCCGAUGCGGGACUCGAUCCCAGGACCCUGAGAUCAUGACCUGAGCCGAAGGCAGACGCUUAACCAUCUGAGCCACUCAGGCGCCCUCCACUUUUUGACUAUUAUGUAUGAACAUUCAUGUACAAGUUUUUUAUGCAUGUGUUUUCAUUUCUCUUGAGUAUAUAAACCUAAAAUGAAAUUAAUGGGGAAUAUACCCCAUAUAUAUUACUAGGUCAUAAGGUAACUCCAUGUUUAAUUACUUGAGAAAUUGCCAUACUUUUUUCUAAAGCUGUUACACCAUUUUAUAUUCCCACCAACAUUGUAUAAGGUUUCCAUUUUUUUUUUUUUAAGAUCUUAUUUAUUUAUUUGACAGAGAGAGACACAGUGAGAGAGGGAACACAAGCAGGGGGAGUGGGAGAGGGAGAAGCAGGCUUCCCGCGGAGCAGGGAGCCCAAUGCGGGGCUCGAUCCCAGGACCCUGGGAUCAUGACCUGAGCCGAAGGCAGACGCUCAACAACUGAGCCACCCAGGCGCCCCUAAGUUUUCCAUUUUUUUCCCACAUCCUCACCAACACUUAUUUUUAUUGUAGUGAUUCUAGUGGGUAUGAAGAAGCAUCUCAUGGUUUUGAUUUGCAUUUCAUUGGUGGCUAAUGAUACUGAACAACAUCUUGUCAUGGGCCUAUUUGCCAUCUGUGCAUCUUAUUUGAGGAAAUGUCUAUUCAGAUCCUUUGCCCAUCUUUUAAUUUUUCUUUCUUUCUUUUUUGUUGCUUUUUAUUGUUGAGUUGUAAGAGUUCUUUAUACAUUCUAAAUACAAGUUCCUUGUCAGAUAUAUGCUUUCCAAAUAUCUUCUCAAUUGUGUCUUUUCACAUUCUUGAUGGUGUCCUUUCAGGCACACUUGUUUUUUUGUUUGUUUGUUUGUUUUUAAAGAUUUUAUUUAUUUAUUUGAGAGAAAGAGUGAGAGAGAGAAAGAGCACAAGAGGGGGGAGCAGGAGAGGGAGAAGCAGGCUCCCUGCCGAGCAGGGAGCCCGAUGCGGGACUCGAUCCAGGGACUCCAGGAUCAUGACCUGAGCCGAAGGCAGUUGCUUAACCAACUGAACCACCCAGGCGCCCGAGGCACACUUGUUUUUAAAUUUGAUGAUGGUUAUUUGUGUUUUUGGAGUAAUAUCUAAGAAACCAUUGCCUAUCCAAAGUCAUAAAGACACCUAUGUGAGAAUGAUACUUUUUUUAAAUUCAAAAUCUGGAAUAAAAAUGGGGUCACUGAAAAUUUAAACACAUUAUAAAGUUCAAAAGAAGAUAUACAGGGGCACCUAGGUGGCUCAGUUGGUUAAGUGUCUGCCUUCAGCUCAGGUCAUGAUCCCAGGGUCCUAGGAUCGAGUCCUGCAUCAGGCUCCUUGCUCAGCGGGGAGUCUGCUUCUCCCUCUCCCUCUGCCUGCCACUCCCUCUGCCUGCCACUCCCCCUGCUUGUGCUCUCUCUGUCAAAUAAAUAAAUAAAAUCUUUUUUUAAAAAAGAAGACAUACAAACAAUUGUAUGUUAAUAACUUUGAAAGUUUAAAUGAAAAAUUCCUAGAAAAUGUAACUUAAAAAUAACACAAGGGGAAAUAGAAUUAAAUAUUCCUGUAACUAGUAAAACCAGUUUAAUAAACCAAAAUCCUUCCCACAAAGAAAACUCCA
Long non-coding RNA from Mirounga angustirostris (Northern elephant seal), 2003 nucleotides. RefSeq lists it as uncharacterized. The transcript has 2 exons. The record is from RefSeq and is a predicted model, not a curated record. Lineage: Eukaryota; Metazoa; Chordata; Mammalia; Carnivora; Phocidae.